UACGUAGGGGGCAAGCGUUGUCCGGAUUUAUUGGGCGUAAAGAGCGCGUAGGCGGCCAGGUAGGUCUGCUGUGAAAACUCGAGGCUUAACCUCGAGAUGUCGGCGGAAACCAUCUGGCUAGAGUCCGGAAGAGGAGAAUGGAAUUCCCGGUGUAGCGGUGAAAUGCGCAGAUAUCGGGAAGAACACCCGUGGCGAAGGCGGUUCUCUGGGACGGUACUGACGCUGAGACGCGAAAGCGUGGGGAGCGAACAGG
This 253-nucleotide ribosomal RNA is filed under the name uncultured bacterium. Its description in RNAcentral is "partial 16S ribosomal RNA". It matches the Rfam family "Bacterial small subunit ribosomal RNA", at positions 524 to 776 of the family's 1533-position model. The record is from RNAcentral.